This 506-nucleotide ribosomal RNA is filed under the name uncultured bacterium. RNAcentral's name for it is "partial 16S ribosomal RNA". It matches the Rfam family "Bacterial small subunit ribosomal RNA", at positions 29 to 523 of the family's 1533-position model. The record is from RNAcentral.
AAUGAACGCUGGCGGUAGGCCUAACACAUGCAAGUCGAACGGCAGCACAGAGGAGCUUGCUCCUUGGGUGGCGAGUGGCGGACGGGUGAGGAAUACAUCGGAAUCUACUCUGUCGUGGGGGAUAACGUAGGGAAACUUACGCUAAUACCGCAUCCGACCUACGGGUGAAAGCAGGGGACCUUCGGGCCUUGCGCGAUUGAAUGAGCCGAUGUCGGAUUAGCUAGUUGGCGGGGUAAAGGCCCACCAAGGCGACGAUCCGUAGCUGGUCUGAGAGGAUGAUCAGCCACACUGGAACUGAGACACGGUCCAGACUCCUACGGGAGGCAGCAGUGGGGAAUAUUGGACAAUGGGCGCAAGCCUGAUCCAGCCAUACCGCGUGGGUGAAGAAGGCCUUCGGGUUGUAAAGCCCUUUUGUUGGGAAAGAAAUCCAGCUGGCUAAUACCCGGUUGGGAUGACGGUACCCAAAGAAUAAGCACCGGCUAACUUCGUGCCAGCCGCCGCGGUAA